Molecule: transfer RNA, 73 nt
Filed under: Myotis davidii
Lineage: Eukaryota; Metazoa; Chordata; Mammalia; Chiroptera; Vespertilionidae
Rfam family: tRNA
About the family: Transfer RNA (tRNA) molecules are approximately 80 nucleotides in length. Their secondary structure includes four short double-helical elements and three loops (D, anti-codon, and T loops). Further hydrogen bonds mediate the characteristic L-shaped molecular structure. tRNAs have two regions of fundamental functional importance: the anti-codon, which is responsible for specific mRNA codon recognition, and the 3' end, to which the tRNAs corresponding amino acid is attached (by aminoacyl-tRNA synthetases). tRNAs cope with the degeneracy of the genetic code in two manners: having more than one tRNA (with a specific anti-codon) for a particular amino acid; and 'wobble' base-pairing, i.e. permitting non-standard base-pairing at the 3rd anti-codon position.
Source: Rfam by way of RNAcentral
ACCGAUGUGGCUCAGUGGAUAGAGCGUCGGCCUGUGGACCGAAGGGUCCCGGGUUCAAAUCCGGUCAAGGGCA